RNAcentral lists this ribosomal RNA (253 nucleotides) under uncultured bacterium. RNAcentral describes it as "partial 16S ribosomal RNA". It matches the Rfam family "Bacterial small subunit ribosomal RNA", at positions 524 to 776 of the family's 1533-position model. The record is from RNAcentral.
UACGGGGGGUGCAAGCGUUGUUCGGAUUUAUUGGGCGUAAAGCGCGUGUAGGCGGUUUGUUAAGUCUGUUGUGAAAGCCCUGGGCUCAACCCGGGAAGUGCACUGGAUACUGGCAGACUUGAAUACGGGAGAGGAGAGUGGAAUUCCUGGUGUAGGAGUGAAAUCCGUAGAUAUCAGGAGGAAUACCGAUGGCGAAGGCAGGUCUCUGGGUUAACACUGACGCUCAUGCACGAAAGCGUGGGGAGCAAACAGG